RNAcentral lists this ribosomal RNA (934 nucleotides) under uncultured bacterium. Its description in RNAcentral is "bacterial SSU rRNA". It matches the Rfam family "Bacterial small subunit ribosomal RNA", at positions 56 to 991 of the family's 1533-position model. The record is from RNAcentral.
UGCAAGUCGAGCGGUAGCAGGUCCUUCGGGAUGCUGACGAGCGGCGGACGGGUGAGUAAUGCAUAGGAAUCUGCCCGGUAGUGGGGGAUAACCUGGGGAAACCCAGGCUAAUACCGCAUACGUCCUACGGGAGAAAGGGGGCUUUGGCUCCCGCUAUUGGAUGAGCCUAUGUCGGAUUAGCUAGUUGGUGAGGUAAUGGCUCACCAAGGCAACGAUCCGUAGCUGGUCUGAGAGGAUGAUCAGCCACAUCGGGACUGAGACACGGCCCGAACUCCUACGGGAGGCAGCAGUGGGGAAUAUUGGACAAUGGGGGCAACCCUGAUCCAGCCAUGCCGCGUGUGUGAAGAAGGCCUUCGGGUUGUAAAGCACUUUCAGCGAGGAAGAACGCCUGUCGGUUAAUACCCGGUAGGAAAGACAUCACUCGCAGAAGAAGCACCGGCUAACUCCGUGCCAGCAGCCGCGGUAAUACGGAGGGUGCAAGCGUUAAUCGGAAUUACUGGGCGUAAAGCGCGCGUAGGUGGCUUGAUAAGCCGGUUGUGAAAGCCCCGGGCUCAACCUGGGAACGGCAUCCGGAACUGUCAGGCUAGAGUGCAGGAGAGGAAGGUAGAAUUCCCGGUGUAGCGGUGAAAUGCGUAGAGAUCGGGAGGAAUACCAGUGGCGAAGGCGGCCUUCUGGACUGACACUGACACUGAGGUGCGAAAGCGUGGGUAGCAAACAGGAUUAGAUACCCUGGUAGUCCACGCCGUAAACGAUGUCGACCAGCCGUUGGGUGCCUAGCGCACUUUGUGGCGAAGUUAACGCGAUAAGUCGACCGCCUGGGGAGUACGGCCGCAAGGUUAAAACUCAAAUGAAUUGACGGGGGCCCGCACAAGCGGUGGAGCAUGUGGUUUAAUUCGAUGCAACGCGAAGAACCUUACCUACCCUUGACAUCCUG